GCUCAAGAGGAACUAGAAGAGGGAGAAGCAGAAAGAAGCCGCCAAGAGUUAGAGCCAGACCAGGAGCCCGAACCAGAGCUAGAGCUGAGGCUGUUUUUGCUAAAGAAGCAGCAACUAAAGAAGUCGAAACGAUGAUGGUUUUCUUGGGACUGCUCAGCUCCUUCCUUUCCUUCCUGUACAUGAUAGCUCCAUUUAUCAGGAAGUUCUUUGCUGGUGGGGUUUGUAAAACAAAUGUGCAGCUUCCUGGGAAGGUGGUGGUGAUCACCGGCGCCAACACGGGCAUCGGCAAGGAGACGGCCAGAGAGCUCGCUCGCAGAGGAGCCCGGGUAUACAUCGCCUGCCGAGACAUACUGAAGGGGGAGUCUGCCGCCAGUGAAAUCCGAGCUGAUACAAAGAACUCCCAGGUGCUGGUGCGGAAACUGGACCUAUCGGAUACCAAAUCCAUCCGAGCCUUUGCUGAGGGCUUUCUGGCAGAGGAAAAGCAGCUCCAUAUUCUGAUCAACAAUGCAGGAGUGAUGAUGUGUCCAUAUUCCAAGACAGCUGAUGGCUUUGAAACCCACCUGGGAGUCAACCACCUGGGCCACUUCCUUCUCACCCACUUGCUCCUGGAGCGGCUGAAGGAGUCUGCUCCUGCACGGGUGGUGAACCUGUCGUCAAUGGUCCACAUUGCUGGCAAGAUUCGCUUCCACGACCUCCAGGGUGAGAAGCGCUACAACCGGGCUUUUGCUUACAGCCACAGCAAGCUGGCCAAUGUGCUUUUCACUCGCGAGCUGGCCAAGAGGCUCCAAGGCACAGGGGUCACCACCUACGCAGUGCACCCAGGCAUCGUCCGCUCCGAGCUGAUCCGGCACUCCUUCCUGUUGUGCCUGCUUUGGCGGCUCUUCUCACCCUUUGUCAAGUCGGCGCGGGAGGGUGCACAGACCAGCCUGCACUGCGCCCUGGCUGAGGGCCUGGAGCCCCUGAGUGGCAAGUACUUCAGUGACUGCAAGAAGGCCUGGGUGUCUCCAAGGGCCCGGAACAACAAGACGGCUGAGCGCCUGUGGGACGUCAGCUGUGAGCUCCUCGGAAUCCAAUGGAAGUAGAGCAGAUAGAGGAGCCACAGCUUCGUCAGGUCUUGUCUGCGCCAUAAUGAAAGGGGACCGAGGAGAAGGCCACCCCUGAAGGCUUGUCCUCCCGGCUGGCUGCUGUUACGAAACCUGGCCUCCUCCGAUUCGCUGACCCUCCCGGAAACCUUUACACACCACCCUCUCGUGGGAUUGGCCCUUGGCAUGAGAUGUCCACACCUACACAGCAUUUUCUCCAAGACUUGCAGAGCCGGCCGGCCGCCCUCUCAGGGCAGGAGGAGUGGGUAGACGUCAGGCCGAACAUAGGGAUGGUGAGAAGAGCCCGGCUCUUCUUGGGUCAGUUUCCUCACCAGUACCAGAAACACUAGCCAGCAUGUUCAGCGGAGGUGACAGGAGCAUCAGCAUUACGCAUUUCUUGGGACUAUAGACUCAAACUCUUUACUGAUCUUCUUUGAAACACUAGUCACAUCUCUGGAGUCUGGACAAACUCAGGAAAAUUUAGCUUAACCGUGGCCAGCUUUGGUCCUUGUUCUGAGCACCUUGGGGCCAUUGUGUGAAGCUGGACAUUCCCAGUUUAUUUUUCUACUUCUUUUUUAAAAAUUGAAUUUUUUCCCUAGCUUUAUUGAGAUAUCAUUGACAUAUAACAGUGUGUAAGUAUGGACCUUCCCAUUUUCAACCAUGCAGAUGGUUUCCUUCCCUAAAGCAUACCCUUUACCUUAGUUUGCAGAGGAAACAGGCUACACAUCUCAUUUGCUUUGUUAUUUUCCCAGGGUAGCAGGAGAGCAAUGGGACAAAGUGAGGAAGCCAGUCUUCUCAUUCAGUGAGUAGUAUCUCACCCUACUCACCACCCACGACCUUUUUACAAUAUUGCAUCUUAUAAUGCAUUAUUGAGAUGGUGUAAAGUAAGAUGCUUUGGUUGGGUAUUUUCUCAAGUUUCUUCCAGCUCUCACAUUUUAUUAUCUAAGAAGUGAUAGAAAUGACUUCAAUCACACCAAGGCUGAGCUUCUCUGUAGAUUAAGGCCAGAGGGAAUAUGGGACUUCACUUAACUGGAUACGUGGAUGCAGAAACGCCAAGCCCUGAUAAACUCUCUACCUGAAAUCUCUUUUCCAGCCUCCCUGCUCUCCUGUGCUGUGGCUCGGUGACCUACCUACUUCUUGCCUCCUGUGCGGAAGGUCACUAAGAAGAGGCAGGGAGAUGGGCCCAAUCUGUCAGCCGAUAAGCCGAAGUCACGUUAUUGGUCCUGUUCUAAAGUAUCCAAAGGACAUCUGGUGACAAAAUGUCCUUUUCUUCCUCAGCAAGUAGACUUUUUAAAAAAACCUUUUUAUCAUGGCAAUUUUCAAAUAGACAAAAGUAGAGAAAAUAGUGUCGCAAAGCGCCCUGUUGUUCAGCAUCAACGUUGACAUCCUGUCAAUCGUGUUUCAUCUUAUUUCCCCCUUGACAUUUUUUGGGGGGUGCAGUGGGAUAUCCAGAUACCACACAUUCACCAAUAAAUACUUUAAUGUGUGUCUAAGUAAGAACACCACAAGCUCAGUGAUCAGAAGUAACCGCCCAGGACGGCCUGGUCACGGAGUCCUGCCUGGGUGGGUCACAGCAGGUAGUCACGUCCCAGGUCUACAGCUUCCUCAGCAAGGGCCGAUCUUUACCUUGAGUGAGCUCUGCCCAUGGUUCUUAUGCAUCUGGGAUAACAUAUCUUUGAAGUAUCAGAGCGAUUUUCUGUUCUAGACUCCUCCUAGGCACAACCAUCAGUACCAGAGCACAAGACCUCAGAAUCCCUUUGUUAUCUUGUUCCCGACAUCCUGUUUCUACCUGCUGCUGGAGGAACAAGCAGACGUCAACGCCCAGGACCGUGAGGGCUGCUGUCUGUGCAGCAAGGACAGCAAGCCGACCACGAGUGUGAGAGCAAAGGCUCUGUAAACACUGAGGCACAAGGUGUGGGCUUGGGUGGGGGUGUUAUGCUUGUCAGAGUCAGCUGGUUGUAGGUAGAAGAAACAAAGCAACACGUGGCCUGCAAGGAGUUGGCUCCAGAGGCCACAUCGAGGCAAUAGGCUGGUACUGGUAUUCUAGCAAAGGCGGAGCUGGGAAGAAUCCAGCUGAUUUGUACACGCCAAGACUGGUGCUGGAGGAAAUCACACCCCCCUGGCAGACUGGAGCCACUAUCCAUCACUGGCCAUCAUCGUCAAUUGGGCUUUCAGUCCUGCCUCGUCGCCUGUUCUCCCAGGGCUCAGGAUGGAUCCAGGGGAGUGUAUACAAUUCGUGGGACCAUCUUUCAGAAGAGAAUACAAAGUUACAGAUACAAAAUUAGGUACAAAAGUGGGUGUUGAUCUAGAAAGGGAAAAAAACCAUGAGAAACUGGGGUGGAAAUUUAGUUUUCCGAGGUCUCUUCAGGAAUUUUACCAGUGAUGCUCGCAGAAAAUGGCUUUCUGAGGGCAACUUGCCUUGCCCUCCACAACUAGAAUAUGAUUCCCAGCAACUCACAGGAGCCCAGGGAAGCUUUAAAAGCUUCACAGUGAGACUGCCUCUCCAUGGUUCAUGUCCUCUCCAUGUUCUCACACCACUGAGCCCACCAUCUCCCACUGACAGGUGAUUCUUCCUCUGAUUUCGUACAUAACAUGAAAACCGUCAGCCAUAAGCUCCUGUAACUUUCUGCUACCAAACCAGCAAACUCAUUUGUAUCCCACUCACAGCCUCUUCCUUUCCACCUUCUACAUUAAAAGAGGUAUCACUCGAUCCAUUUUUAA
Molecule: RNA transcript, 3803 nt
Organism: Artibeus jamaicensis (Jamaican fruit-eating bat)
Lineage: Eukaryota; Metazoa; Chordata; Mammalia; Chiroptera; Phyllostomidae
Gene: RDH12
Gene name: retinol dehydrogenase 12
Exons: 8
Source: RefSeq, a predicted model, not a curated record